RNAcentral lists this ribosomal RNA (406 nucleotides) under uncultured bacterium. Its description in RNAcentral is "partial 16S ribosomal RNA". It matches the Rfam family "Bacterial small subunit ribosomal RNA", at positions 29 to 526 of the family's 1533-position model. The record is from RNAcentral.
AUUGAACGCUGGCGGCAGGCCUAACACAUGCAAGUCGAACGAGUGGCGUACGGGUGAGUAAUGUCUGGGAAACUGCCUGAUGGAGGGGGAUACCUACUGGAAACGGUAGCUAAUACCGCAUACCAUCGGAUGUGCCCAGAUGGGAUGAGCUACUAGGUGGGGUAAAGGCUCACCUAGGGGAUGAUCCCUAGCUGGUCUGAGAGGAUGACGAGACACACUGGAACUGAGACACGGUCCAGACGCCUACGGGAGGCAGCAGGGGGGAAUAGUGAACAAUGGGAGCAAGCCUGAUGCAGCCAUGCCGCGUGUAUGAAGAAGGCCUUCGGGUUGUAAAGUACUUUCAGCGGGGAGGCGUUACCCGCAGAAGAAGCACCGGAUAACUCCGUGCCAGCCGCCGCGGUAAUAC